Molecule: ribosomal RNA, 467 nt
Filed under: uncultured bacterium
Lineage: Bacteria
Description: partial 16S ribosomal RNA
Rfam family: Bacterial small subunit ribosomal RNA
Source: RNAcentral
ACGAACGCUGGCAGCGUGCUUAACACAUGCAAGUCGCACGGAAAGGCCCUGCUUUUGUGGGGUGCUCGAGUGGCGAACGGGUGAGUAACACGUGAGUAACCUGCCCUUGACUUUGGGAUAACUUCAGGAAACUGGGGCUAAUACCGGAUAGGAGCUCCUGCUGCAUGGUGGGGGUUGAAAAGUUUCGGCGGUUGGGGAUGGACUCGCGGCUUAUCAGCUUGUUGGUGGGGUAGUGGCUUACCAAGGCUUUGACGGGUAGCCGGCCUGAGAGGGUGACCGGCCACAUUGGGACUGAGAUACGGCCCAGACUCCUACGGGAGGCAGCAGUGGGGAAUAUUGCACAAUGGGCGGAAGCCUGAUGCAGCAACGCCGCGUGCGGGAUGACGGCCUUCGGGUUGUAAACCGCUUUCGCCUGUGACGAAGCGUGAGUGACGGUAAUGGGUAAAGAAGCACCGGCUAACUACGUG